RNAcentral lists this ribosomal RNA (229 nucleotides) under uncultured bacterium. Its description in RNAcentral is "partial 16S ribosomal RNA". It matches the Rfam family "Bacterial small subunit ribosomal RNA", at positions 568 to 796 of the family's 1533-position model. The record is from RNAcentral.
UGCGUAGGCGGUUCUGUGUGUCGGAUGUGAAAUCCCGAGGCUCAACCUCGGAACUGCAUCCGAAACUGCAGGACUUGAGUGCAGGAGGGGAGAGCGGAAUUCUUGGUGUAGCGGUGAAAUGCGUUGAUAUCAAGAAGAACACCGGUGGCGAAGGCGGCUCUCUGGAAUGUUACUGACGCUGAGGCACGAAAGCUGGGGGAGCGAACAGGAUUAGAUACCCUGGUAGUCC